CCAUCAUUUAAAGAAAGCGUAAUAGCUCACUGGUCGAGUCGGCCUGCGCGGAAGAUGUAACGGGGCUAAACCAUGCACCGAAGCUGCGGCAGCGACACUGUGUGUUGUUGGGUAGGGGAGCGUUCUGUAAGCCUGUGAAGGUGUGCUGUGAGGCAUGCUGGAGGUAUCAGAAGUGCGAAUGCUGACAUAAGUAACGAUAAAGCGGGUGAAAAGCCCGCUCGCCGGAAGACCAAGGGUUCCUGUCCAACGUUAAUCGGGGCAGGGUGAGUCGACCCCUAAGGCGAGGCCGAAAGGCGUAGUCGAUGGGAAACAGGUUAAUAUUCCUGUACUUGGUGUUACUGCGAAGGGGGGACGGAGAAGGCUAUGUUGGCCGGGCGACGGUUGUCCCGGUUUAAGCGUGUAGGCUGGUUUUCCAGGCAAAUCCGGAAAAUCAAGGCUGAGGCGUGAUGACGAGGCACUACGGUGCUGAAGCAACAAAUGCCCUGCUUCCAGGAAAAGCCUCUAAGCAUCAGGUAACAUCAAAUCGUACCCCAAACCGACACAGGUGGUCAGGUAGAGAAUACCAAGGCGCUUGAGAGAACUCGGGUGAAGGAACUAGGCAAAAUGGUGCCGUAACUUCGGGAGAAGGCACGCUGAUAUGUAGGUGAAGUCCCUCGCGGAUGGAGCUGAAAUCAGUCGAAGAUACCAGCUGGCUGCAACUGUUUAUUAAAAACACAGCACUGUGCAAACACGAAAGUGGACGUAUACGGUGUGACGCCUGCCCGGUGCCGGAAGGUUAAUUGAUGGGGUCAGCGCAAGCGAAGCUCUUGAUCGAAGCCCCGGUAAACGGCGGCCGUAACUAUAACGGUCCUAAGGUAGCGAAAUUCCUUGUCGGGUAAGUUCCGACCUGCACGAAUGGCGUAAUGAUGGCCAGGCUGUCUCCACCCGAGACUCAGUGAAAUUGAACUCGCUGUGAAGAUGCAGUGUACCCGCGGCAAGACGGAAAGACCCCGUGAACCUUUACUAUAGCUUGACACUGAACAUUGAGCCUUGAUGUGUAGGAUAGGUGGGAGGCUUUGAAGUGUGGACGCCAGUCUGCAUGGAGCCGACCUUGAAAUACCACCCUUUAAUGUUUGAUGUUCUAACGUGGACCCGUGAUCCGGGUUGCGGACAGUGUCUGGUGGGUAGUUUGACUGGGGCGGUCUCCUCCUAAAGAGUAACGGAGGAGCACGAAGGUUGGCUAAUCCUGGUCGGACAUCAGGAGGUUAGUGCAAUGGCAUAAGCCAGCUUGACUGCGAGCGUGACGGCGCGAGCAGGUGCGAAAGCAGGUCAUAGUGAUCCGGUGGUUCUGAAUGGAAGGGCCAUCGCUCAACGGAUAAAAGGUACUCCGGGGAUAACAGGCUGAUACCGCCCAAGAGUUCAUAUCGACGGCGGUGUUUGGCACCUCGAUGUCGGCUCAUCACAUCCUGGGGCUGAAGUAGGUCCCAAGGGUAUGGCUGUUCGCCAUUUAAAGUGGUACGCGAGCUGGGUUUAGAACGUCGUGAGACAGUUCGGUCCCUAUCUGCCGUGGGCGCUGGAGAACUGAGGGGGGCUGCUCCUAGUACGAGAGGACCGGAGUGGACGCAUCACUGGUGUUCGGGUUGUCAUGCCAAUGGCACUGCCCGGUAGCUAAAUGCGGAAGAGAUAAGUGCUGAAAGCAUCUAAGCACGAAACUUGCCCCGAGAUGAGUUCUCCCUGACCCUUUAAGGGUCCUGAAGGAACGUUGAAGACGACGACGUUGAUAGGCCGGGUGUGUAAGCGCAGCGAUGCGUUGAGCUAACCGGUACUAAUGAACCGUGAGGCUUAACCUUACAACGCCGAAGGUGUUU
This 1847-nucleotide ribosomal RNA is filed under the name Escherichia coli. RNAcentral describes it as "partial 23S ribosomal RNA". It matches the Rfam family "Bacterial large subunit ribosomal RNA", at positions 1116 to 2925 of the family's 2925-position model. The record is from RNAcentral. Lineage: Bacteria; Pseudomonadati; Pseudomonadota; Gammaproteobacteria; Enterobacterales; Enterobacteriaceae.